RNAcentral lists this long non-coding RNA (399 nucleotides) under Mytilus galloprovincialis (Mediterranean mussel). Lineage: Eukaryota; Metazoa; Mollusca; Bivalvia; Mytilida; Mytilidae. The record is from RNAcentral.
UUAAGGAAGCUGGCUUGUCAUGUUUUGGAUUUUUUGUCAGAUUUUCGGAAUCCUCUGGUUUUAUCCAUUUGAAUGCCUUGAAAAAAUUUGCCCGGUCACCCCCAUUUUUCUUUUUUUAAAUCUUUUACAUGUAUAAUGAUAAGCCAUCUGUAAAAGUCUUAUAAAAUUUUAAUUACUUUUUAAUAGUUUUUGAGAACUUCAACUUGUCAAUGAUAAAGCUAUGAAAAGUCAAGAGAGAAUAUUUUCCCGCCAAAAUUUCAUUGGCUAAUAUCUCAAAAACAAGCACGGUGACCUAUAUAUUUUUUUUGCUCUUUGGAUUCUUUUAUUAAUCCCUUAUCAAUAUAAACUAAUGUUUUGAAAAGUUAAUUACUUUGAAACUGAGAAGCGAGCUCCCUUAAA